RNAcentral lists this ribosomal RNA (483 nucleotides) under uncultured bacterium. RNAcentral describes it as "bacterial SSU rRNA". It matches the Rfam family "Bacterial small subunit ribosomal RNA", at positions 28 to 520 of the family's 1533-position model. The record is from RNAcentral.
GACGAACGCUGGCGGCGUGCCUAACACAUGCAAGUCGAACGGACGAGGUCGAAGCUUGCUUCGACCGAGUUAGUGGCGGACGGGCGAGUAACGCGUGAGCAACCUGCCCUUCAGUGGGGAAUAACGAUUGGAAACGGUCGCUAAUACCGCAUAACAUACAACCGCGGCAUCGCGGAUGUAUCAAAGGAGCAAUUCGCUGAAGGAUGGGCUCGCGUCCGAUUAGCUAGUUGGUGGGGUAACGGCCCACCAAGGCGACGAUCGGUAGCCGAACUGAGAGGUUGAUCGGCCGCAUUGGGACUGAGACACGGCCCAGACUCCUACGGGAGGCAGCAGUGGGGGAUAUUGCACAAUGGGGGAAACCCUGAUGCAGCAACGCCGCGUGAGGGAAGAAGGUCUUCGGAUUGUAAACCUAAGUUGUCAGGGACGAACAAAUGACGGUACCUGAAAAGAAAGCUCCGGCUAACUACGUGCCAGCAGCCGCGG